GGCUGGCUACAGGUGUGUCUGACCACGCUUGUGAGGGCGUGGUCAGAGUGACAUAGUGUGACUGUGUUUGCUCUUUUGGUUUCACUUUGCUUCUUGCUGUACAGGCUGCUGCCACGCUGGCUGGCUAGGUCGCUCUAUCAAUGCAUCUGAGGAGUAAGAGAGACUGAUGAUCUGCUCCAAGGAGGCUGCUCACAAAUGAUCCCUCAGAGUCACAACAGAGCAUCAACGAACAAUGAACAGUGUCUAUGGGGACUUGGUUCUUUCAGGUCUGCUUUAACUUAUGCUUGCAAAGCACAGACCUCAGGACUGACUCACAGAAGGCUCUUCUCUGACAGAACAACAGCUUUCCACAAUUUGGGAAAGCACAGACCACCUUUAUCUAAGAUUUCAGCAGAAGGACCUAUUACUGUUCAUUCGAUAAUGGGACAUUGUAAUGAAACUGAGAUAAUAAAAAGCAUAUGUGUUUGGAACUGGUUCAAAUGGGGCAAUGAAUUUAUUCUAUUUUUUUCUGAGUGAGAUCAAGCUUUUAGAAUUAAAGGAGAUAAGGAGCAGAGAAGUCAAAAAGCAAUGAAUGUAGGAUCUAGAUGUUAGAACAAAUAGACUUUAAAAAUGUUUUACAGUAAGUAAUAGAGCAUUGGCCAAAUAAGGUAAAGUCAGAUAAUUAUUCCAUUUCUUAUAGACUGUUCAAGUGCAAACAUUAGAACAUGCAUUCAAUAGAGCUGUUGACCUUCCCCACCCUCACAAUGGGAUCACAAAGAAGAAGAUGUGAUGUAGACUGCAAAGAAGUGUAAUCUGUUUCAUAAAACAAGGCUAACCAAUAACAUUUGCUUCACCGUUUGGGGAUACCUCUGUGAAUUUUGCCAUUUAAUUAUAGACAACUCUAUGUGCUUUUACUCCUUCUGAUUUUUAACCCUCCUGAUAUUUAUAU
RNAcentral lists this long non-coding RNA (928 nucleotides) under Cricetulus griseus (Chinese hamster). Its description in RNAcentral is "lncRNA (ENSCGRG00015033614.1)". The record is from RNAcentral. Lineage: Eukaryota; Metazoa; Chordata; Mammalia; Rodentia; Cricetidae.